Molecule: ribosomal RNA, 279 nt
Filed under: uncultured bacterium
Lineage: Bacteria
Description: partial 16S ribosomal RNA
Rfam family: Bacterial small subunit ribosomal RNA
Source: RNAcentral
UGCCAGCCGCCGCGGUAACACGGGGGGCGCAAGCGUUAUUCGGAAUUAUUGGGCGUAAAGGGCGCGUAGGCGGUCUUGUCGGUCAGGUGUGAAAGCCCGGGGCUCAACCCCGGAACUGCACGCCGAACUGCAGGGCUAGAGGACGAGAGGGGAGUAUGGAACUCUAGGUGGAGCGGUGAAAUGCGUAGAUAUCUAGAGGAACGCCGGUGGCGAAAGCGAUACUCUGGCUCGUCCCUGACGCUGAGGCGCGAAAGCGUGGGUAGCAAACAGGAUUAGAUA